UCUCACUGAGUUGCGGGGAUUCUCCACUGCUGAACAGCCAGAACAUGGAAAGGUGCAUCUCAAUAAAACGACUCUGCAGACCUUGGUCACAGGACAUCUCCAAUAGUUUAUCCUGAAGAACCGGUGAGAAUAUACUGGUCCAAGGACCUCCAGAGCCUGCUGACCAACUAGUGUACCUGCGAUCUCUCCAGAGCACAGAGAAGUGAGUCUGCUGGGCUAUGGAACUCUAGAGCAGCACAUCAAAAAACCUGCCACCCUGUGUUGUCAGCUAUCGACAGUUCCCUGAAGGACGCAACUACCAAGGCUUUAAAAUGGUCAAAUUUGGGGGAUGACCACCAAAUGC
This 343-nucleotide long non-coding RNA is filed under the name Salmo salar (Atlantic salmon). Its description in RNAcentral is "lncRNA (ENSSSAG00000095332.1, ENSSSAG00020072412.1)". Lineage: Eukaryota; Metazoa; Chordata; Actinopteri; Salmoniformes; Salmonidae. The record is from RNAcentral.